CCUACGGGAGGCAGCAGUAAGGAAUAUUGGUCAAUGGACGAAAGUCUGAACCAGCCAUGCCGCGUGAAGGAUUAAGGCCCUCUGGGUUGUAAACUUCUUUUAUCUGGGACGAAAAAAGGGUAUUCUUACUCACUUGACGGUACCAGAGGAAUAAGCACCGGCUAACUCCGUGCCAGCAGCCGCGGUAAUACGGAGGGUGCAAGCGUUAUCCGGAUUUACUGGGUUUAAAGGGUGCGUAGGUGGGCUUGUAAGUCAGUGGUGAAAUCUCCGGGCUUAACCCGGAAACUGCCAUUGAUACUAUAGGUCUUGAAUUAUCUGGAGGUAAGCGGAAUAUGUCAUGUAGCGGUGAAAUGCUUAGAUAUGACAUAGAACACCAAUUGCGAAGGCAGCUUACUACGGAUAUAUUGACACUGAGGCACGAAAGCGUGGGGAUCAAACAGGAUUAGAUACCCUGGUAGUCCACGCCCUAAACGAUGGAUACUCGACAUCAGCGAUACACUGUUGGUGUCUGAGNGAAGANAUAUAUCCACCNGAGAGANCGCAGAUAGAACACAAGAAGUAGAGCGNGAGAGNGCCGACGACGACGACGAGGGAGGAGG
This 599-nucleotide ribosomal RNA is filed under the name uncultured bacterium. RNAcentral's name for it is "bacterial SSU rRNA". The stretch from base 1 to 531 matches the Rfam family "Bacterial small subunit ribosomal RNA", at positions 338 to 873 of the family's 1533-position model. The record is from RNAcentral.